RNAcentral lists this ribosomal RNA (443 nucleotides) under uncultured bacterium. Its description in RNAcentral is "partial 16S ribosomal RNA". It matches the Rfam family "Bacterial small subunit ribosomal RNA", at positions 338 to 795 of the family's 1533-position model. The record is from RNAcentral.
CCUACGGGUGUCAGCAGUGGGGGAUAUUGGACAAUGGGGGGAACCCUGACCCAGCGACGCCGCGUGAGUGAAGAAGUAUUUCGGUAUGUAAAGCUCUGUCAGCAGGGAAGAAAGCAAUGACGGUACCUGACUAAGAAGCCCCGGCUAACUACGUGCCAGCAGCCGCGGUAAUACGUAGGGGGCAAGCGUUAUCCGGAAUUACUGGGUGUAAAGGGAGCGAAGACGGCUGUGCAAGUGUGGCGUGAAAGGCGGGGGCUCAACCCCCGGACUGCACUGGAAACUGCAUGGCUGGAGUGCAGGAGAGGUAGGCGGAAUUCCUAGUGUAGCGGUGAAAUGCGUAGAGAUUAGGAGGAACACCAGUGGCGAAGGCGGCUUACUGGACUGUAACUGACGUUGAGGCUCGAAAGCGUGGGGAGCAAACAGGAUUAGAUACCCGUGUAGUC